GUGCCAGCAGCCGCGGUAAUACCGGCAGCCCGAGUGAUGGCCGCUAUUAUUGGGCCUAAAGCGUCCGUAGCUGGCCGAACAAGUCCGUCGGGAAAUCCACGAGCUCAACAGGUGGGCGACCGGCGGAAACUGCACGGCUUGGGGCCGGAGGGCUCGAGGGGUACGUCCGGGGUAGGAGUGAAAUCCUGUAAUCCUGGACGGACCGCCGGUGGCGAAAGCGCCUCGGGAAGACGGACCCGACAGUGAGGGACGAAAGCUGGGAUCUCGAACCGGAUUAGAAACCCCGGUAGUCC
RNAcentral lists this ribosomal RNA (293 nucleotides) under uncultured bacterium. RNAcentral describes it as "partial 16S ribosomal RNA". It matches the Rfam family "Archaeal small subunit ribosomal RNA", at positions 455 to 747 of the family's 1478-position model. The record is from RNAcentral.